AGCGAACGCUGGCGGCAGGCUUAACACAUGCAAGUCGAGCGGGCAUCCUUGUGGUGUCAGCGGCAGACGGGUGAGUAACGCGUGGGAACGUGCCCUUCGGUUCGGAAUAACUCAGGGAAACUUGAGCUAAUACCGGAUACGUGCGAGAGCAGAAAGGUUUAUCUGCCGAAGGAUCGGCCCGCGUCUGAUUAGCUAGUUGGUGAGGUUAUGGCUCACCAAGGCGACGAUCAGUAGCUGGUCUGAGAGGAUGAUCAGCCACACUGGGACUGAGACACGGCCCAGACCCCCGCGGGGGGAAGGAGUGGGGAAUAUUGGAAAAGGGGGGCAACCCUGACCCAGCCAGGCCGGGGGAGUGAGAGCGGCUUUAGGGUUGAAAAGCCUUUUUCUUCGGGACGAAAAUGACGGUACCGGAGAAAAAAGCCCCGGCUAACUUGGG
This 436-nucleotide ribosomal RNA is filed under the name uncultured bacterium. RNAcentral's name for it is "partial 16S ribosomal RNA". It matches the Rfam family "Bacterial small subunit ribosomal RNA", at positions 29 to 506 of the family's 1533-position model. The record is from RNAcentral.